RNAcentral lists this ribosomal RNA (706 nucleotides) under uncultured bacterium. Its description in RNAcentral is "bacterial SSU rRNA". It matches the Rfam family "Bacterial small subunit ribosomal RNA", at positions 71 to 768 of the family's 1533-position model. The record is from RNAcentral.
AAGGUUAGCUUGCUAAUCUUUGCCGGCGACCGGCGCACGGGUGAGUAACACGUAUGCAACCUGUCCGGUACAGGGGGAUAAGCGGCGGAAACGCCGUCUAAUACCGCGUGACAACCCGAGGGGGCAUCCCCUUGGGUUCAAAGGAGAGAUCCGGUACCGGCUGGGCAUGCGGCGCAUUAGCUAGUUGGCGGGGCAACGGCCCACCAAGGCGACGAUGCGUAGGGGUUCUGAGAGGAAGGUCCCCCACACUGGAACUGAGACACGGUCCAGACUCCUACGGGAGGCAGCAGUGAGGAAUAUUGGUCAAUGGGCGCAAGCCUGAACCAGCCAAGUCGCGUGAGGGAAGACGGCCCUACGGGUUGUAAACCUCUUUUGCCGGGGAGCAAGCCUGAGCACGUGUGCCCAGGCGGAGAGUACCCGGAGAAAAAGCAUCGGCUAACUCCGUGCCAGCAGCCGCGGUAAUACGGAGGAUGCGAGCGUUAUCCGGAUUUAUUGGGUUUAAAGGGUGCGCAGGCGGGCUGUUAAGCCGGCGGUAAAAAUUCAGGGCUCAACCCUGUCGAGCCGUCGGAACUGGCAGUCUUGAGUGGGCGAGAAGUAUGCGGAAUGCGUGGUGUAGCGGUGAAAUGCAUAGAUACCACGCAGAACGCCGAUUGCGAAGGCAGCAUACCGGCGCCCGACUGACGCUGAGGCACGAAAGCGUGGGGAU